GCUCCGUAGGUGAACCUGCGGAGGGAUCAUUACAGAGUUCAUGCCCUACCGGGUAGAUCUCCCACCCUAUGUUAUUAUUACUUUGUUGCUUUGGCGGGCCGUUAGGCUCCGGCCCGACUACCGGCCCCGGCUGGUAAGCGCCCGCCAGAGGACCCACAACCCUGAAUAUUAGUGUCGUCUGAGUACUAUAUAAUAGUUAAAACUUUCAACAACGGAUCUCUUGGUUCUG
RNAcentral lists this unclassified non-coding RNA (229 nucleotides) under plant metagenome. Its description in RNAcentral is "partial contains small subunit ribosomal RNA, internal transcribed spacer 1, and 5.8S ribosomal RNA". The record is from RNAcentral.